AAGUCGUAACAAGGUUUCCGUAGGUGAACCUGCGGAAGGAUCAUUACCACAUCCAAAAUCUUUAUAUAAACCCACACAUGUGAAGUUAUGAUGAGGAACUUUUUUUCCAAAAAUCAUUUUGAACCCCUUUUGAACUCUUUUGAAGUAGAAAAAGCAAGAUUAAUCAAAAAUGAGAAAAGAGAAAACAACUUUUAACGGUGGAUCUCUUGGCUCGU
Molecule: unclassified non-coding RNA, 215 nt
Filed under: fungal sp.
Lineage: Eukaryota; Fungi
Description: partial internal transcribed spacer region
Rfam family: Eukaryotic small subunit ribosomal RNA (bases 1-46)
Source: RNAcentral